Molecule: small RNA, 877 nt
Filed under: Pan troglodytes (chimpanzee)
Lineage: Eukaryota; Metazoa; Chordata; Mammalia; Primates; Hominidae
Description: retained intron
Source: RNAcentral
CAGAUUCUCCCGGACCCACGUGGAAGCGGCACUCAAGAUGCUGCGCCGCGAGGCCCGCCUGCGCCGCGAGUACCUGUACCGCAAGGCCCGGGAGGAGGCGCAGCGCUCAGCCCAGGAGAGGAAGGAGCGGCUGCGGCGCGCGCUGGAAGAAAACCGCCUGAUUCCCACUGAGAUACGCCGAGAGGCUCUGGCCUUACAGGGGUCCCUGGAGUUUGAUGAUGCCGGAGGUGAAGGUGUGACCAGCCACGUGGAUGAUGAAUACCGAUGGGCAGGAGUCGAGGAUCCCAAGGUUAUGAUCACUACCUCCCGAGACCCCAGUUCCCGCCUCAAGAUGUUUGCAAAGGAGCUGAAGCUGGUGUUCCCGGGCGCCCAGCGAAUGAACCGAGGUCGACAUGAAGUGGGGGCACUGGUGCGAGCCUGCAAAGCCAACGGCGUCACCGAUCUGCUGGUCGUUCACGAGCAUCGGGGCACACCUGGUGAGGCCGGAGGGAGGGAGUCGGGGUGGGAGCCGUCUGAGGGCAGACGGGGUCUCUGACAGCCACCUUUCCCUGCCAGUGGGGCUCAUCGUCAGCCACCUGCCCUUUGGUCCUACUGCCUACUUCACGCUGUGCAAUGUGGUCAUGCGGCAUGACAUCCCAGACCUGGGCACCAUGUCGGAGGCCAAGCCCCACCUCAUCACACACGGCUUCUCCUCCCGCCUGGGCAAGCGGGUCUCUGACAUCCUCCGAUACUUAUUUCCCGUGCCCAAAGAUGACAGCCACCGGGUCAUUACCUUCGCAAACCAGGACGACUACAUAUCAUUCCGGCACCACGUGUACAAGAAGACAGACCACCGCAACGUGGAGCUCACUGAGGUCGGGCCCCGCUUUGAGCUGAA